Molecule: ribosomal RNA, 316 nt
Filed under: Paramachaerium schomburgkii
Lineage: Eukaryota; Viridiplantae; Streptophyta; Magnoliopsida; Fabales; Fabaceae
Description: eukaryotic LSU rRNA
Rfam family: 5.8S ribosomal RNA (bases 1-74)
Source: RNAcentral
CGUGAACCAUCGAGUCUUUGAACGCAAGUUGCGCCCGAAGCCAUUAGGCCGAGGGCACGCCUGCCUGGGUGUCACCAACCGUCGCCUCAGCCCCAGUGCCUCCGGGCACGGGGCGCGGGGCGGAUGCUGGCCUCCCGCGAGCGAGGUGCCUCGCGGCUGGCCGAAAAUCGAGCCCGCGGCGGAGUGCGGCGCCAUGACAAGACGGUGGUUGAGCGCAAUCUCGAGGCCAGUCAUGCGCGUCCCUCCGCCAGCGGCGGACUCCGUGGACCCGCGAGCGCGGCGUCGGCCGCCCGUGAUGCGACCUCAGGUCAGGCGG